AUUGAACGCUGGCGGUAUGCUUAACACAUGCAAGUCGAACGGUAACAGGCCUAGCUUGCUAGGUGCUGACGAGUGGCGGACGGGUGAGUAACGCGUAGGAAUCUGCCUUAUUGUGGGGGAUAACCUGGGGAAACUCAGGCUAAUACCGCAUGAGCCCUUAGGGGGAAAGGAUGGGACCGAAAGGCCAUUCGCGAUAAGAUGAGCCUGCGUUGGAUUAGCUAGUUGGUGGGGUAAAAGCCUACCAAGGCGAGGAUCCAUAGCUGGUCUGAGAGGGCGAUCAGCCACGCUGGGACUGAGACACGGCCCAGACUCCUACGGGAGGCAGCAGUGGGGAAUAUUGGACAAUGGGGGCAACCCUGAUCCAGCAAUACCGCGUGUGUGAAGAAGGCCUGCGGGUUGUAAAGCACUUUCAGUGGGGAGGAAGAGCUCGGUGCUAAUAGUAUCGAGUUGAGACGUUACCCACAGAAGAAGCACCGGCUAACUCUGUGCCAGCAGCCGCCGUAA
RNAcentral lists this ribosomal RNA (504 nucleotides) under uncultured bacterium. Its description in RNAcentral is "partial 16S ribosomal RNA". It matches the Rfam family "Bacterial small subunit ribosomal RNA", at positions 30 to 523 of the family's 1533-position model. The record is from RNAcentral.